This is a long non-coding RNA of Hippocampus comes (tiger tail seahorse), 739 nucleotides long. RefSeq lists it as uncharacterized. The transcript has 3 exons. The record is from RefSeq and is a predicted model, not a curated record. NCBI's taxonomy places the organism in Eukaryota, Metazoa, Chordata, Actinopteri, Syngnathiformes, Syngnathidae.
GUGAAAAAUGAAAUUUGUUGGGCUGCUGUGCGGAAUUUAACGCCUUCACGCAAACACACGUGUGAGAGGGAAGCGGGCACACACAGCGUCCAGCGGGUGAUUCUGUCCAAUGCAAAUGUGGACGCGGGGACUAGAGAUGCUACCGCGCAACACCCACGGUUCUUCAAGUGACUCCAACCAGAGAAGAGUAGUAGAGCAGUCGUCUUCGAACACAGAGGUCGGCGGUUUAAUCUUCGGCCAUGUCGACGUGUUCUUGAUCAAGAUACUGAACCUCCAGUUGCUCCAGAUCCUGCGUCAUCAGGAGGCUUGACAUCAUCUGGACUUGGACUCGGAUUCUCAGCUGCGGACUCAGACUUGACUUGGAUUCAGACCUUUGUGACUCGAAUUGGACUUACCGCGUCUGGUGGUUGAGAAGCUGGUCGCUGGAGGAGGCCUUGAUAGCGCUUGAGGGCAGAGCUGCCAAUUGUAUGACUCACACGAGCCUAGCAGGAGCAGCUUGAGCGUCAGGUGGGUACGCCUCGCUGACACCUUCCAGUUGGCAAGUGAGAGCAGCAGAUGGCGAGAUGCAUCACAUCGCGGACGAUUGUCAAGCUAACACGGCCGCGUUUGUUGUGCCAUCCUGCUAAUUUUCUGUUACCACUGUUUUAACUCUCUGGGCUCUCUGGUGGACAUUUGUGUCUACUUGACAAUUUUUUUAACAUGAUUUUAGCUGUUUUAAAGCAAAUUUAAUGCAACAUGG